AGAAAAGGUAAUGAUUGUUAUUGAUGUAUGUGUUCGGUCUUAAUUGUAGGAAUGGAUUAUCUUUCUGUUUCUGUAGAGCAAGUUCAUCAGGUUUUGUUGAAAAUAGGGGUAAGAUCUUUAUCUUGAUGAAUAUUUUCAUUUUAUAAAAAAUUUCCAUUUCUUUGCUAACUUUUUGGAAGAAAGGAAAAAACGAACACAAAACUAAACUGAUGCUGCAAGAAUUUUAACCAUUUCGGAUUCUAUAAAUUAAAUCACUCUUACUAUUCUGUUGGUCUGCGUAGUUCAAAUUUGUGAAUCUUUUCACGUCAUGAAAUUGUUGCAGAUUGGUGUAGUGCCUACAUUUGACUCAUGUUUAGAAAUUCUAACUUUGAAUACAUUGCUCUAAGUUAUAAUUCCGGUGGAGGGCUUGAUACUUGAUGAUGUAAGUCCAGGAGAAUACAUGCUUCAUUGCUUGCCUUUAAGGAUCCCUGGUACCUACGGAUCACCCUCAAGAUGCGUCCUUAUGCAGUGAUCACUCUCUGUAUGUUAAAUGGAGCUUGUAAAUGUAUAAAUUCAUUCUGUAAGUUUGUGUUGGUAUAUAAUCAAUUGGCAAUAGUAUAUUAUAAUAUGUUGAACCUACG
RNAcentral lists this long non-coding RNA (620 nucleotides) under Olea europaea subsp. europaea. Lineage: Eukaryota; Viridiplantae; Streptophyta; Magnoliopsida; Lamiales; Oleaceae. The record is from RNAcentral.